AGCUCCAAUAGCGUAUACUAAAGUUGUUGCAGUUAAAAAGCUCGUAGUUGAAUUUCUGGUCUGGGACAGUGGUCUGCCUCGAACGAGGUACGCACCUUUUGUCUGAGUCCAUCCUCGGAGAGAACGUGUCUGUCAUUAAGUUGAUGGGCUCGGAAUCUUCGUCAUUUACUGUGAGCAAAAUAGAGUGUUCAAAGCAGGCUUAUGCCGAUGAAUACACUAGCAUGGAAUAAUAAGAUAGGACCUUGGUCUAUUUUGUUGGUUUGUACUCCAAGGUAAUGAUUAAUAGGGACAGUUGGGGGUAUUCGUAUUUCGUUGUCAGAGGUGAAAUUCUUGGAUUUACGAAAGACGAACUACUGCGAAAGCAUUUACCAAGGAUGUUUUCAUUAAUCAAGAACGAAAG
This 400-nucleotide ribosomal RNA is filed under the name phytoplankton environmental sample. RNAcentral's name for it is "partial small subunit ribosomal RNA". It matches the Rfam family "Eukaryotic small subunit ribosomal RNA", at positions 587 to 989 of the family's 1831-position model. The record is from RNAcentral.